ACUCCUGCCUCAGGCCUCAGCCACCACAGUUGACAGGGUCCAGAGCAAAACCUACGGAAGAAGCUGCAGAGGCCAGGUGGAGGGAAGGAUGCUGAACUGGAGGAGGCCAGGAAAUUAUGAGGUGAUUCUAAGCACAUUAAAAUCUGGAUGACACUUAUCUGAAUCAUUUCGCAACUUGGAGAGAGAUGGAGAAGACACGCAUGGUGUAACUGGGCAUCACCAGAAUGUGCACUGCCAUCUGUGGCUGUCUUCCUGCUGGCAAAUCCUUUUCAUUCCAAGCAAAUAAGAUUCCCUAAAUUAGACAAAAAGGAAGAAACACAACAGAGUCCAUAAUUCUGAGAGGAAGAGAAGAGUGAUCAUCAGCAGCAAAAGGCAAUUGCAGAGAAGCACCACCAAGAGCCAGCUUCAUGCUCAGGAGUGAAUGCUGAGCCGCCUCCUCGUGGUUUCCGGUGCUCCACAUGUUCAGAGAAACUUCUCUGCUUAAUUUGCAGGCCCCCAGGUACUGAACUUAAGAGGACAGAGGAAAAGUUUUUCCUCCCUGACACUGAGCAACCAGAGGCUGCUGUUAAGUAACCUUCCCUCAUUUCUACGUCUGUCCUCUGCCCCUUCCAGCCCCUCAACCCACAUUGUCUCUCAUGUUCCUAUUCACCUAAAAGAGGAAAAUCAUAUUAUUUCAAUAAACCUCUGCCUUAUAGUUUGUAAACUGUUUUCUGUUGUUUUUUUGUUUUGUUUUGAGACAGAGUCUUG
This 747-nucleotide long non-coding RNA is filed under the name Homo sapiens (human). Its description in RNAcentral is "HSALNT0343977". The record is from RNAcentral. Lineage: Eukaryota; Metazoa; Chordata; Mammalia; Primates; Hominidae.